CCUACGGGAGGCAGCAGUGGGGAAUAUUGCACAAUGGGCGCAAGCCUGAUGCAGCCAUGCCGCGUGUGUGAAGAAGGCCUUCGGGUUGUAAAGCACUUUCAGCGGGGAGGAAGGCGUUAAGGUUAAUAACCUUGUCGAUUGACGUUACCCGCAGAAGAAGCACCGGCUAACUCCGUGCCAGCAGCCGCGGUAAUACGGAGGGUGCAAGCGUUAAUCGGAAUUACUGGGCGUAAAGCGCACGCAGGCGGUCUGUCAAGUCGGAUGUGAAAUCCCCGGGCUCAACCUGGGAACUGCAUUCGAAACUGGCAGGCUAGAGUCUUGCAGAGGGGGGUAGAAUUCCAUGUGUAGCGGUGAAAUGCGUAGAGAUCUGGAGGAACACCGGUGGCGAAGGCGACCCCCUGGACAAAGACUGACGCUCAGGUGCGAAAGCGUGGGGAGCAAACAGGAUUAGAUACCCCUGUAGUC
RNAcentral lists this ribosomal RNA (465 nucleotides) under uncultured Klebsiella sp. Its description in RNAcentral is "bacterial SSU rRNA". It matches the Rfam family "Bacterial small subunit ribosomal RNA", at positions 338 to 795 of the family's 1533-position model. Lineage: Bacteria; Pseudomonadati; Pseudomonadota; Gammaproteobacteria; Enterobacterales; Enterobacteriaceae. The record is from RNAcentral.